GGCUUGAUGCUAUCUCAGAUGUCCAUUCAAAAAGAGCUAUUGGGAGCAGCCCUACUAAUUCGUAUUCAUCUUUAAGACAUGAGCUCCUAGGCAAACUCGAAAAAGAUACAAUUCAAGUAAUAUCAAAGCGGUAAAUGAUAAUUAGCGCAUUAAGUGCACAAAAUACAGUAAUAUCAACAAUAAAGUCAAAUAAAAAUCACAUUAACAAGCUUGAAUUCUUAAACCCUGAACCGGAAGUUCUGGGUUGUUCUCCCCAGCAGAGUUGCCAGAGCUAUCACACCUCCUUUUUUACCACCCUGUCGAGGUAUGUGAGAGUUUUACUAAUUAAAGUGACAUUAUUCGAAAUGAGAUUAUUUAUUUAUCAGAGUCGCCACUUGAAAUAAAUUAUGGUGUCUCAAGUCCCCACUUUAUUUUAAAUUCCAAAUUUAGGAAAUUUAAACUUUCCUUUUUGAAGUCUGCAAACCAGAAAUUCUAGAUAAGGAAUUCUGUUAACCCGAGGGAAGGUGUUAGGCACCACCGGAUUCCGUGGUUCUAGCAUGGUCCCUUAGUGAUUAUUACUAGGCUUUAAAUUAUUUAGUUACUCAUUUUUAAGACAUACGUGCAUUUAUCUUUUUACCGCCUUUAAAUCACUUGAUUAUUCGUAAUUAAAGAAUUUAGUUACGCGUACGUAUACACAUUUACUUUGGUGCCUCAAAACCAUGACACACGAACGUGUCCACGAUGAAUAACACUUUGUUUAUUUAUUAAGAAAGUUUGGUUGAAGUUGAGCGAACACAUCCCUCGAGUCUUUUUAGAGUUAAAUUCGCAAUUAUAUUAAGUGAACGUCUAAAUAAUCGCAAUAUUAAUCCAAAUCAAGCCUAAAGCAAACUACGAUCAUUGGUUAUUUUUCUAGGCUAAUUUUGAGAUUAUCAUAAGGUUUUUGAUUAUGGAUAUGGAAUUAUUUGGAAUAAAUUUUAUGGCUUAAGCUAUUAUGAAAUUAUUUAUAUAAAAAAGUACUAAUGUUAAAGCUAAUGUUACAACCCAACCUAUAAGGAUUUGACGGACAAUCCAUAAAUUAAAUGAAACAAAUAAUUUCCUACAUUAAUUUUAUCAAACUACUCCUACCAACGAAAAGGUAAGGAACCCAAUACAAUCAUCUCAUUACAAAGGCAUGCUCAUAAUAAUUAACAAAGAAGCAAAAGUGGGAUCAUCUACAAAUUGUGACUGCCGUUAUUUAGCUUAGAAACUGAGGGACGAGAUUGAUCCUUGGAAUCCAACUCAGUCUGCCAAACUACUACUCUACUUGCUUCAGAUGUAAUUGUUCUCUAAUAAAAUUCAUACAUCUGAGUUGAUAUACAUUGAUUUCCACAUUUUUAGUCAUUGUCACAAUCCUGAAUCACAAUAAAACUUUUAAUUACGCAAACAAAUAAUAAUUCAAUAUGUUUAUCCAAAGUAAAGCAACAGAUUCAAACAAACAAAUCAAUAUUUCAUUCACCCGAACUAGCAAAAAUCAUAGAACUAGAAGUGUACAUACCUAAUACUUGAAAACAAACUUGUGAGGCCAAAUAAUGGCUAAGAAAAAGGCAAAGUGGAGCUCAGCUUCACAAGACCAGCCGAAUCAACAUCCUCUCUCAGUCGAAAGCUUUAGAAAACUCAGAAAUUUGGAAAAAUCAAUAGCUACAACUUCAUAUAACUUGCAGAGAUCUCUUAGUAGUUUAAACUUUUUGUUUUUAACCUUUUUUUGAAUUUUUUCUGUUUUCGAUCGGAGGUUCAAGAUUUGGAUUGAGAUUUUGUUUUUUCUUUGUGAAUGUGGAAGAAUUUUCCUGGAAGUCCCAAUUGGACGAGUGCGCCCAUUCUCUUUCUGGGGCAAGUGACGGUGAGAAUGAAAGACGUCAAGAAAAUGAAGAAGAAGAACCAAGAGGCGUCCAAUGGUCUUUGUGCCGUUCUAGGAGUAAGAGAUUUU
This 1942-nucleotide long non-coding RNA is filed under the name Nicotiana benthamiana. Its description in RNAcentral is "long non-coding RNA (NBEN_LNC042057)". The record is from RNAcentral. Lineage: Eukaryota; Viridiplantae; Streptophyta; Magnoliopsida; Solanales; Solanaceae.